RNAcentral lists this long non-coding RNA (420 nucleotides) under Marmota monax (woodchuck). The record is from RNAcentral. Lineage: Eukaryota; Metazoa; Chordata; Mammalia; Rodentia; Sciuridae.
UAUUGUCCCAGCUCUGAUUUAUGGAAUUUGGUAUUUUUUGAAAGGCAAGGUGUCUGGAGUUUAGGGUCUUUCCUUGACAGCCGUUCCUCUCCCCCGUACAGUCAGUCUGAUUUUAUUCACCUUGUGGUGACCUUGCAGAACUCAGCAUUUUUACCUGAGCUCAGUAGCUGGGGAGCCCACUAGCGCUGGCUGGGAGAGAGCCGGUGGUUUCCAUUCCUGGGUGAUGGAGUCAUGGGAGAAACUGCAGUGAGCAAACACAGAGUAGGACCUGAGCAGGGCUCGAAUGUGCUUUAAGCAGCUCAGGACAGAGCAGCAGCUCAGGACAGAGCAGCUGCUCUGUCUCCCAGCCUGCAUUUGUCACUGACCACUGAAGUGUGUGUUUGUGCAAGGUGAGAGUCGGGGGCUUUUUCCUUAAUUUGG